AUGCCGGGCCGGCGGUCGCUCGGCGCUCUGCUGCCCCGCCUGUCUGUUGCUAGAAGGCGGGGAGGCGCAGGCGCGCCGCGGGGCAUGCCGGUCCGGCGGUUGCUCGGCGCUCCGCUGCACCUCCUACCAGUUGCCAGGAGGCGGGGAGGCGCAGGCGCGCUGGAGGCGGCCGCGGGGCACGCCGGUCGCUUGGCGCUCGGCUAUCCAGCCUGCCGGUUGCUAGGAGGCCGGACGCCGGCCCGGCCAAGGGUGUGGGUGCCGGGGCGUCUCCUCCCGGGGCCUGGCCCUGCUGAGGGCAGCGUGGCCGCCCGGUCCUGCGCGCGGCGAUGGAGCCCGGGAAGAGAAGAACCAAAGAUGAUACUUGGAAAGAAGAUGAGCUCAGAAAACACCUUUGGGCCGCUGGAUCAGCCAGUCCCACGGAAGAGACGAGGCCCAGAGCCAGGAAGCCGCGGAGGGAGUCAGAGGCGGACUGGGCGGACCGCAAAGAGCGCAGACCCAGCACCCCACACCGUGACGCCGAGUACAGAGACAGCGCGGCCGAGAGGGACGGCCAGGCUGCCGGGGGGCGCCCCCGCGGGGACAGGGACAGGGACAAGACGCGGGACAGCAGGAAGGACAGGGGCCGGCCACAGGAGAAGCACCGGGAGCGGGACGCGGAGAAGCCCCACGGCCGAGCAAAGGAGCGCGAGAGGGGCCGGGCGCGGCCAGCGGAGCUGUGGCAGGUGGCCGCGCACCCCAGCCGGCUGGGUGGCGACCGCGACCGCGACAGGGACCGAGACAGGCCUGAGCGCAGGCGGGCAGUAAGUAAAGCAAGAAUUGCAGAGGGGGAACGGAGAGAUGAAGACUCUGAGAGAGGAGAUGAGGAGAGAGAAAGGAGAUACCGAGAAAGAAAGGUAUGCAGGGCGAGGCCUGGGAGGGGCUCCAGCUGCAAAGCUCAGGGCGCUCAGGCACAGGCGUUAGAGGGCUUCUGAAAAAUACUGUAAAACGGAAUCUAAGACCUAAGACAGUUCUCAGGCACUAAGUUCUCACAGGCAAGUGUGUUUCUCCAAUUCCAAGAGUAAACCUUGGUUAUCUUGGAAAAUUUACAAAAUGCAAAUAAUAAUAAGAGAAAAAAUAAAAAACAGAGAUAAUUACUGAUAAUGUUUAGAUAUAUGCCCUAUAGGUUUAUGUACAUAUAUUCAUAUAAGUGUAUGUGUUUGGAUAUGUACAUAGAAGUUUUAUUUUCUUAAGUUGGAUUUUUACUGUUUUGUAACUGUUCUGAUGCACUUGGAGCAUUUUUCCUGAGCUGUCACGUCUGUCUGUAGGUUUAUGUACAUAUAUUCAUAUAAGUGUAUGUGUUUGGAUAUGUGCAUAGAAGCUUUAUUUCCUUACGUUGGAUUUUUACUGUUUUGUAACUGUCCUGAUGCACUUGGAGCAUUUUUCUGAGCUGUCACGUCUGUCUAUAGUAUUUUAACACCUGCAUAAUACAGUAUUCAAUGAUGUUUUCUGGACACAUCUGCUUUUUUUUGGAUACUUACGUUGCUUCUAAAUUUUUUUGGCAUUGUAAAGACAUCCAUGGUAUAAACUUCUUGCGUUUAUUCAUAAUUAUUUCCUUAUGAUUAAUUUCUGGAAGUGAACUUGCUAGAUCAAAGUAAGUGUUACCCCAUUUGUUUUACGUUAGACUGUAAUUGUUCAUACAUCAGAGUGUGAUUCCCCAUGUCCUAAGCAGCAAGUGGGCAUUAUCAUAAUUUUUAACAUUUGCUAAUUUGAUUCAGAAGCAGAGGGUAUUUUAAAAAAAUACUUAUUUUUAUUUUUUUAUUUAUUUGGUUGUGCUGGGUCUUAGUUGCGGCAGGUAGGCUCCUUAGCUGUGGCUCGCUGGCUCCUUAGUUGUGGCAUGUAACUCUUAGUUGCGGCAUGCAUGUGAGAUCUAUUUCCCCGACCAGGGAUCGAACCUGGGCCCCCUGCAUUGGGAGCACAGAGUCUUAUCCACUGGACCACCAGGGAAGUCCCCAAAGGGCAUUUUAUAAAAGGGUUUAUUGUCCUAUUAUUAGUUACUACCUGCGUACGUCUGCAUACUUGUCUAGUGGGGUGUAUUGUUAACUUUAAGAGUACUUUAAAGAUGAGCUCUCUGCUAGUUAUAUAUGUCAGUGUUCUGUUUGUUUUACUGUGCAGUUGUUAUUUUUAUAAGUGAGUUUAAAGUUAUGAAGUAGUCAGGUCUGUCUUUCCUUAUUUCUGUUGUUGUUGUGAUGCUUGGAGAGCCCUCUUCCCCACGCUGGUGUCAUGUAAGGAGUCGCCUGUGUUUUGUUCUGGGUCCUCAUAAUUUUUUAACGGUAAAUCUUUAAUUCCCUUCAAAUUCAGUCUGUGAUGGGUGUGCAGGAAUCUAACUUCACACCUGAGGAGCCUCUCCAUGUCUCUCUUUGGGAAGGUUAUCCUGGUGGCCAUGAGCAGAGCGGGUGGGGGCUGGAGGGGAUGGAACCACGGGGAACAGAGGCGGAGGAGGCCCUGAGUGAACGGAGAAGGACGGUUCAGUUUGGGUCCUGCUGAGACAUGGUAGUGAUGCUCCCCGAACCCGGCGCUCAUGACCCACUGUGUAAGCUCGCAGAUCGCUGCCUUGUGGCCUCGGCACCCGUGGUCCCUGGACAUCCCUGGAGGCUUGGGGGAUGCAGGGAUGGCUGAACCAUCUCCCUGCGGGUGGGGGCAGACAUGUGAGCUGUGUGCCAUGAAGAGAGGCGCAAUGUGCACCCACGAAAGCGGAUGUCCUUCCAGACAAGUUACAUGGCUCUCUCAGGAGGGCCUUGCGUGUUGGUAGCGCUCAGGACGCGGGGGAGUCGAGGAGAGGGCGGCAGGAAGGGCAAGGGUGUCCGCCAUGCAGAGGAAUUGGGACGAUGCUCCUCCUUAGGGUGAGGCUGCUGGCUGCGGUGUCUGUUGUCGUGUGUGUGUGUGUGUGUGUGUGUGUGUGUGUGUGUGUAGUCUGCGUGGUUUCCUUUCCCAUCGCCAGGUGAGUAUGGGAAGGUGCCCGUGGCAGGACAGGGGAGCGAGAGCCAGGGGAGCUCUGUGUCUUCCCCUGUGUUUGCUGUAAUGUGUAUAUAAGACAGCA
Molecule: long non-coding RNA, 3076 nt
Organism: Delphinapterus leucas (beluga whale)
Lineage: Eukaryota; Metazoa; Chordata; Mammalia; Artiodactyla; Monodontidae
Source: Ensembl